RNAcentral lists this ribosomal RNA (459 nucleotides) under uncultured bacterium. RNAcentral's name for it is "SSU rRNA". It matches the Rfam family "Bacterial small subunit ribosomal RNA", at positions 26 to 518 of the family's 1533-position model. The record is from RNAcentral.
AGAAUCAACGCUGGCGGCGUGCCUAACACAUGCAAGUCGCACGAGAAAGGGACUUCGGUCCUGAGUACAGUGGCGCACGGGUGAGUAACACGUGAAUAAUCUACCUCCGAGUGGGGAAUAACUGAGAGAAAUCUUAGCUAAUACCGCAUAACACUUACGAGUCAAAGCAGCAAUGCGCUUGGAGAGGAGUUCGCGGCAGAUUAGUUAGUUGGCGGGGUAAUGGCCCACCAAGACGAUGAUCUGUAUCCGGCCUGAGAGGGCGCACGGACACACUGGAACUGAAACACGGUCCAGACUCCUACGGGAGGCAGCAGUGGGGAAUUUUGCGCAAUGGGGGAAACCCUGACGCAGCAACGCCGCGUGGAGGAUGAAAUAUCUUGGUAUGUAAACUCCUUUCGAUGGGGAAGAUAAUGACGGUACCCAUAGAAGAAGCCCCGGCUAACUCGUGCCAGCAGCCGC